UACGUAGGGUCCGAGCGUUGUCCGGAAUACUGGGCGUAAAGCGUGCGCAGGCGGCUUCUUAGGCAUGACGUGAAAGCCCCGGGCUCAACCCGGGAGGGUCGGUCGUGAACCGGGGGCUUGAGGCCGGUAGAGGUGGGUGGAACUCCUGGUGGAGUGGUGAAAUGCGUAGAGAUCCGGAGGAACACCAAAGGCGAAGGCAGUGUCCUGGGGGAGUACCUGACGCGUCA
This 227-nucleotide ribosomal RNA is filed under the name uncultured bacterium. RNAcentral describes it as "partial 16S ribosomal RNA". It matches the Rfam family "Bacterial small subunit ribosomal RNA", at positions 524 to 749 of the family's 1533-position model. The record is from RNAcentral.